This 706-nucleotide ribosomal RNA is filed under the name uncultured Klebsiella sp. RNAcentral's name for it is "bacterial SSU rRNA". It matches the Rfam family "Bacterial small subunit ribosomal RNA", at positions 768 to 1474 of the family's 1533-position model. Lineage: Bacteria; Pseudomonadati; Pseudomonadota; Gammaproteobacteria; Enterobacterales; Enterobacteriaceae. The record is from RNAcentral.
GCAAACAGGAUUAGAUACCCUGGUAGUCCACGCCGUAAACGAUGUCGAUUUGGAGGUUGUGCCCUUGAGGCGUGGCUUCCGGAGCUAACGCGUUAAAUCGACCGCCUGGGGAGUACGGCCGCAAGGUUAAAACUCAAAUGAAUUGACGGGGGCCCGCACAAGCGGUGGAGCAUGUGGUUUAAUUCGAUGCAACGCGAAGAACCUUACCUGGUCUUGACAUCCACAGAACUUUCCAGAGAUGGAUUGGUGCCUUCGGGAACUGUGAGACAGGUGCUGCAUGGCUGUCGUCAGCUCGUGUUGUGAAAUGUUGGGUUAAGUCCCGCAACAAAAACAACCCUUAUCCUUUGUUGCCAGCGGUUAGGCCGGGAACUCAAAGGAGACUGCCAGUGAUAAACUGGAGGAAGGUGGGGAUGACGUCAAGUCAUCAUGGCCCUUACGACCAGGGCUACACACGUGCUACAAUGGCAUAUACAAAGAGAAGCGACCUCGCGAGAGCAAGCGGACCUCAUAAAGUAUGUCGUAGUCCGGAUUGGAGUCUGCAACUCGACUCCAUGAAGUCGGAAGAGCUAGUAAUCGUAGAUCAGAAUGCUACGGUGAAUACGUUCCCGGGCCUUGUACACACCGCCCGUCACUCUAUGAGGGUGGGUUGCAAAAGAAGUAGGUAGCUUAACCUUCGUUUAGAAGGAUACCACUUUGUGAUUCAUGA